Long non-coding RNA from Pezoporus flaviventris, 590 nucleotides. RefSeq lists it as uncharacterized. NCBI's taxonomy places the organism in Eukaryota, Metazoa, Chordata, Aves, Psittaciformes, Psittacidae. The transcript is spliced from 3 exons. The record is from RefSeq and is a predicted model, not a curated record.
AGAUGUCCCCAGUUUAAAAACAAACACUGUUCAGAACCAUCUCUGAUGGUGGAGGGCAUGCGCCAUUCCCGCCAGUGCCAGGGCACAUCAGGGACAUUGGUCGGUGGGAGUGGGAGAGAGGCGGCCAUGAGGGAUGAGGGGAGAUCGUGAGGGGAGAUCAUGAAGGGAGAGCAUAGGCAGCCAUGAGGGAAAAUCAUGAGGGGAAAGGUGGCCUGAUACCCAGCUUGUGUCCAUCGGUGUUAUUCUGAUUUAAGAUCAUUGCUCUGGGUGAAGCUCGGUAUAAAGACUAUAAAUUCACUUUCUAGGAGUGCAAGCAAGGAAGAUGCAUCCUGUUAGCCCACAUGUCCGCCUGCAGGUUUGCAAAGAGCGAGGCCUGUCUGGAGAUGUGCUUUUGGAAGAAAUUGCUGCUGGUUGAGAUAAGGCAGACUUUCUAAGAAGAAAACAAUUAAUUCAAUGCAGAAAGCACAUGGGAACCACAGAACUCCUCAUGGUUCUUGCCCAGUUGAGCAGCACUGGUAGAGCAGCUCUCACCUGACACCAGGAUAAUGAGGAGCUUCGCCUGCUCUUCCAGGAGGCUGUGGAAAUACUGG